This 252-nucleotide ribosomal RNA is filed under the name uncultured Ralstonia sp. RNAcentral's name for it is "partial 16S ribosomal RNA". It matches the Rfam family "Bacterial small subunit ribosomal RNA", at positions 99 to 355 of the family's 1533-position model. Lineage: Bacteria; Pseudomonadati; Pseudomonadota; Betaproteobacteria; Burkholderiales; Burkholderiaceae. The record is from RNAcentral.
CGAACGGGUGAGUAAUACAUCGGAACGUGCCCUGUAUGGGGGAUAACUAGUCGAAAGAUUAGCUAAUACCGCAUACGACCUGAGGGUGAAAUGGGGGACCGCAAGGCCUCAUGCUAUAGGAGCGGCCGAUGUCUGAUUAGCUAGUUGGUGGGGUAAAGGCCUACCAAGGCGACGAUCAGUAGCUGGUCUGAGAGGACGAUCAGCCACACUGGGACUGAGACACGGCCCAGACUCCUACGGGAGGCAGCAGCC